CUGCCAUACCACUUUGUUCGUAUACUGUACAACUAUACAAGCAGCAAUGUCUCUCCCCCUCUCUCUCUCUCUCCGUCUAGGCGGUGUUGGUGGUGCGCGGUGGUGAAUGGCAAGAUUUGUGGAGCUGCUGUCUGGAACUUCCUUCUUCGCUGACGUCUGUGCCUGGAACUUCCUUCUUCGCCGGCGUCUGUGUAACAGGAACCCUAAAUCGACUGUUCCUCGUAAAACUUCUUCUUAUGUGAGUGUCGCAUCUAUUAUCGCCGCAUACACGGCUUUCUCCUCCUACCAUUAUAAUUCCUCCUUGCAAGAAUUGAGAGGGAGAAAGUUUGGGGAAACUGUUGACAGGAGAUAUUUGUUUUUUGCUCCCUUGCUGCCACAUUUGUUUUCACUUUACACUGAGAAAAUAUAUAGUGAGAAACUGAGAGAAAGAAAUAGAGAAGACUAGAGAGAUGGGGCGUCAGCUGCUUUCCGUUGACAGGAGAUAUUUGCUUUUUCCUCCACGUCUGCAACAUCUUCUUAUCGUCAUAGGUCUCACACGGUUAACAGCAAAGCAACGGAGCAACAAAGGUAUUGGUGGUUCCCGGUGGUCAACAGUCGCACCUUUGGGUGACGGCUAGGGUUCCGGACAGGGGUUCGUUUAUUCGGCAAUCGUGGUCAGUUUAGAGACAUACGACACAUAUGUUAGUUUAACUCACACAUAUUGGUGAUUGGUGGUGGCGGCUCUUCUCUGGUUUUGCCCCGGUGCUCUGCCAUCUUUUCUACCUGUAGUCUGAUAUGCAAUUCAGGCCUAGCAUUCUUUCAAGACUAGACCCCCAGACCUAGAUCACACAAAUUCUAUGAAAGGGGCUUCUAACAAACAACGACAAGACAAGAAGCAACUCUAAGCCUUGGUGUUAGAGAGAGCCCAGCACCGGGCAAGGUUAGGGAAGCACAUAGAAGGGUAAUGGUUGCAAACCAUCCGGAUGCCGGAGGCAACCAUUACUUAGCUUCAUAUAUCAAUGAAGCCAAAGAUGUAAUGCUUGGAAAGACGAAGAACAGUGGGUCUGCAUUCUGAUCCAAUUACUGUUUUAAUCUGUUUCUGAUGACAAACAGUCCAAAUGGUAAUAUAUACCCAACUCUUAGUUUGAGUGUUAAUUUAUAGAAGAACGCGAUGGAAAUGUGAACACUGGAUUGACCGCAUAAACAAUUUUAAAGCAUCUCAAGCAGAAACAGUAUGUGAUUGAAACGGGUCAGCUCUAUGUUUAACGUUGCUGCGUAUGUCAGGUAAUCUAGAUUCGAAGCUGUAAGCCUGUAAUAAUUAAAUAAUUAGUUGUUUAAGUAUAAUACCAAACACCUAAUGCAUGAUCUUAACUACAGAGCGAGCUAAAUUGAAGACAUAUUUAAGAUAUUUUAGCACUAACAUAGUAAACAUGUACUGCUUUACAUGUAUCUGAUCCUAACACAAAUGAUAUAAAUGAGUGAACGUUUGAUGAAUAUGUUUUAAUUUUAUUAGAAAGUGUGAAUUUGUUUGAUCAGUUAGUGAAGUUAGUGAUAAAGUUAGUUGGUGUUGAAAUCAGGUUAAGUUGGUAGGGAUGCUGAUGAACAAGUCUUAGACGGUUGUUGAUGUUUCUUUUGUGCUUGAUGAUGGUGCCGGUCGCAUUGACCGCAACAGAUGAUAUGGAAGUUGUUUUGUGUUUAUGUUUCUUUUCAGUUAUGUGGUUUUAGAAUAUGAUGGUGUAUCUGUGAUGUUUUAGGGUUCAUACGGUGGUUGACAUGAAGGAGAUGGAAGCGAUAUUUUAUUUUUUUUAUUUCUUUGGUGAUUUGUGAAUUUGCAGUCUGAUUUGAAUCUUAUAGCAUUGUUCGUCUUUGUUCUUUUUAAAAUUUAAGGAAGCAAUGUAUGUUGAGAGUUCAUGGACAACUGAAAUGCUUUCAGAGGAAGAAGUAGUUAGUGGGCAUAACAAGUAUCUUAGAAUGUUUUUGAUAUGCGCGCCAAGUUCAUGGGUACUUUUUUACUUGAUAAAAAGAAAAAUAUAAGAUUGUGUGUUAAAGAUUCUAACUGUGUUAUGCAGGAUAUAAAGAAUGAAAAAGAAAGAGAAGUGAGAAUCCUGACUCCAUGGAUGAAGAUGAAGACGAAGACAAGGUGGCCGUGAUCAAGGCUGCCCACUUCGAGGAAUCCAUGAAGUAAAGAAACAGAACCAGUAGCUGUAAACUUAAUGAGGCGGCUCAUGGAUCGUGUUGCUGAAGCCGUGUAUGCAGAUAUGGAUGUUUUAAAAGGUCUGAAGCAAUUGUCUGAACAUCUUAAGGCAUCUGAUACAUCGCCAGAUGAAACGUUGCUACCAGAACAAGCUAAUCUUUUAUUAGAGAAGCUGGAUGUACAAAUGGACAUUAAUGAUGAUGAGAGUCUCCGACGUCGGCAUUUGCUGAGACAUUGCAGCAAUCUGGAGGAUUUGGGGCUGAGUUUCGCGUCGUUGAAGCAACAUCCGGGGCAGCAGCCGGUGCUGGUGGUUUUGACCUGUUUGCUGCUUCUACAGGUGAUUUUUCGACUAAAAUCCAGCCAAAAAUGAGUAAACAAAUCCCCUAAUUAUAUGUUCAUUUUGGUUGAUCCUUCCCUGAGGAAACCAUGUUAUUAUUUUGGUGUUUGUUGGGAAAGUUGGAGAAGUGGCUAGGUAGUUGUAAAGUGGGAAAAUGGCUACAAGUUUUAGUGAGGAGUUCGAGGUUUGCAGAUCGUUAGAAGGAAUGUCAAAUGAACAACAGUCUGGUUCUAUUCCCAUGGUCAAGCUGGUGUAUGAGGUCGACCGGAGGCGGCGACGAAAACAGGAACUAGGGUUCCGGCCGGUUACCAUAUCCCACAGCCGAUGCCGAUCUGGCUUCAAGACUAUGUCCCCGGCGAAAUGCAACGGCCGCGCAGCUAGGAUUCCGCCGCAAACACAACCGCGACGGAAAUUGUGGUUGAUCUUCUGCGACAUUGGAAGCCGAUCCAGCCAAACCAGGUAUGUAUUUUGACGAACGAGGUUAGACUUGACAUCCAUUGCUCUAUUUCUUUGGAUGAGUGUAGCUUAUUGGGUCGAUUUGAUGUAUGUCGGUGGUUGAUGUGGUGUUCUCCGGCGACGCUCAUUGGUGACUUGAAAAUGGUGUGGCAAUCCAAGCAUGCAGUCAUAGAAGCUGUUGUUUCAUUAGUUUAUUUUUAUUUUUUUAAUCAAAGAGCAGAAAAUCGAUCACUUAUAGAAGUAACGAUGUAAGAUAUAUGCAUAAACUUGACACACCCUGUUUCAAUCCGAAUUGUAAAUCCAUAUGCUAUAUCCAAUGUUCUUAUUCGCAUAA
Molecule: RNA transcript, 3300 nt
Organism: Helianthus annuus (common sunflower)
Lineage: Eukaryota; Viridiplantae; Streptophyta; Magnoliopsida; Asterales; Asteraceae
Exons: 5
Source: RefSeq, a predicted model, not a curated record